UGUCAUUCAAGGGAUCUGUUGUUCAGGUUUAGUGAAGAUGUGGUUACAUGUCCUAACUGCUCCUCACACUUUCACUGGUUAUAGCAAGUUCCUGUUAAAGGUUCAAGUACAUUAGGUAUGUGUCAAUAUAAUUAUAUUGUUCUCUGUUCUAGUGUGGGCAGUAAUGUAGUGCUGCCUCCACGUGACACUGCCUGGGAUCACUAGUGGUUACUACUGCUAGUGAUGCUAAGAGCACUACAUACAAGAAGAAUAGAUACUAACAGUAACUAUGUAUGAUGAAUUACAUUCCAUUGUUAGGUUAAUGACAUUAAGAGGAUAAGUACAAUUCUCUGCUAUUGAAGACUACAUUGAGAAGUUAAUUGUUUGCUGUUUGAAGCUGUACAUUAACUGAAGACUAUAAAGAAUUACAUAACAUUGUUUAUAAUUUUAGCAUUUUUGUU
Molecule: long non-coding RNA, 440 nt
Organism: Amphimedon queenslandica
Lineage: Eukaryota; Metazoa; Porifera; Demospongiae; Haplosclerida; Niphatidae
Exons: 3
Source: RefSeq, a predicted model, not a curated record